RNAcentral lists this unclassified non-coding RNA (193 nucleotides) under soil metagenome. Its description in RNAcentral is "partial contains 5.8S ribosomal RNA, internal transcribed spacer 2, and large subunit ribosomal RNA". The record is from RNAcentral.
AACGCACGAGACCUGCGGACCUGCGGAGGGAUCAUUACCGAGUUAUCCAACUCCCAACCCCUGUGAAUUAUACCUUUAAUUGUUGCUUCGGCGGGACUUCGCGCCCGCCGGGGACCCAAACCUUCUGAAUUUUUUAAUAAGUAUCUUCUGAGUGGUUAGAAAAAUGAAUCAAAACUUUCAACAAUGGAUCUCU